ACGGGUGAGUAACGCGUGGGAAUCUACCCAACCCUACGGAAUAACGCUUGGAAACGUGUGCUAAUACCGUAUACGCCCUAUGGGGGAAAGAUUUAUCGGGGAUGGAUGAGCCCGCGUUGGAUUAGCUAGUUGGUGGGGUAAAGGCCUACCAAGGCGACGAUCCAUAGCUGGUCUGAGAGGAUGAUCAGCCACAUUGGGACUGAGACACGGCCCAAACUCCUACGGGAGGCAGCAGUGGGGAAUAUUGGACAAUGGGCGCAAGCCUGAUCCAGCCAUGCCGCGUGAGUGAUGAAGGCCCUAGGGUUGUAAAGCUCUUUCACCGGUGAAGAUAAUGACGGUAACCGGAGAAGAAGCCCCGGCUAACUUCGUGCCAGCAGCCGCGGUAAUACGAAGGGGGCUAGCGUUGUUCGGAAUUACUGGGCGUAAAGCGCACGUAGGCGGAUAUUUAAGUCAGGGGUGAAAUCCCGGGGCUCAACCCCGGAACUGCCUUUGAUACUGGGUAUCUAGAGUCCAGAAGAGGUGAGUGGAAUUCCGAGUGUAGAGGUGAAAUUCGUAGA
RNAcentral lists this ribosomal RNA (557 nucleotides) under uncultured bacterium. Its description in RNAcentral is "bacterial SSU rRNA". It matches the Rfam family "Bacterial small subunit ribosomal RNA", at positions 102 to 694 of the family's 1533-position model. The record is from RNAcentral.